GCUUCCGUAGCUCAGAGGUCAGAGCGUCCGCCUGUCGAGCGGAGGGCCGCCGGUUCGAGUCCGGUCGGGAGCG
Molecule: transfer RNA, 73 nt
Filed under: Streptomyces eurythermus
Lineage: Bacteria; Bacillati; Actinomycetota; Actinomycetes; Kitasatosporales; Streptomycetaceae
Also listed under: 1 other name
Description: tRNA-Asp
Rfam family: tRNA
About the family: Transfer RNA (tRNA) molecules are approximately 80 nucleotides in length. Their secondary structure includes four short double-helical elements and three loops (D, anti-codon, and T loops).
Source: RNAcentral